This 492-nucleotide ribosomal RNA is filed under the name uncultured bacterium. RNAcentral's name for it is "partial 16S ribosomal RNA". It matches the Rfam family "Bacterial small subunit ribosomal RNA", at positions 29 to 507 of the family's 1533-position model. The record is from RNAcentral.
AGUGAACGCUGGCGGUAGGCCUAACACAUGCAAGUCGAACGGCAGCACAGUAAGAGCUUGCUCUUACGGGUGGCGAGUGGCGGACGGGUGAGGAAUACAUCGGAAUCUACUUUUUCGGGGGGGAUAACGUAGGGAAACUUACGCUAAUACCGCAUACGACCUACGGGUGAAAGCAGGGGAUCUUCGGACCUUGCGCGAUUGAAUGAGCCGAUGUCGGAUUAGCUAGUUGGCGGGGUAAAGGCCCACCAAGGCGACGAUCCGUAGCUGGUCUGAGAGGAUGAUCAGCCACACUGGAACUGAGACACGGUCCAGACUCCUACGGGAGGCAGCAGUGGGGAAUCUUCGGCAAUGGGCGCAAGCCUGAUCCAGCCAUGCCGCGUGAGUGAAGAAGGCCUUCGGGUUGUAAAGCCCUUUUGUUGGGGAAGAAAAGCAGCAGGUUAAUACCCCGCUGUUCUGACGGUACCCAAAGAAUAAGCACCGGCUAACUUCGUG